UAGGGAAUCUUCGGCAAUGGACGAAAGCCUGACCGAGCAACGCCGCGUGAGUGAAGAAGGUUUUCGGAUCGUAAAACUCUGUUGUUAGAGAAGAACAAGGACGUUAGUAACUGAACGUCCCCUGACGGUAUCUAACCAGAAAGCCACGGCUAACUACGUGCCAGCAGCCGCGGUAAUACGUAGGUGGCAAGCGUUGUCCGGAUUUAUUGGGCGUAAAGCGAGCGCAGGCGGUUUCUUAAGUCUGAGGUGAAAGCCCCCGGCUCAACCGGGGGGGGUUAUUGGAAACUGGGAGGCGUGAGGGGAGAAGAGGAGGGUGGAAUUAUAUGUGUAGCGGUGGAAUGCGUAGUUAUAUGGAGGAACACCAGUGGCGAAGGCGGCUCUGUGGUCUGUAACUGACGCUGAGGCACGAAAGCGUGGGGAGCAAACAGG
RNAcentral lists this ribosomal RNA (429 nucleotides) under Gemmatimonadota bacterium. RNAcentral describes it as "Gemmatimonadetes bacterium partial 16S ribosomal RNA". It matches the Rfam family "Bacterial small subunit ribosomal RNA", at positions 355 to 776 of the family's 1533-position model. The record is from RNAcentral. Lineage: Bacteria; Pseudomonadati; Gemmatimonadota.